RNAcentral lists this unclassified non-coding RNA (328 nucleotides) under soil metagenome. Its description in RNAcentral is "partial contains 5.8S ribosomal RNA, internal transcribed spacer 2, and large subunit ribosomal RNA". The stretch from base 1 to 120 matches the Rfam family "5.8S ribosomal RNA", at positions 35 to 154 of the family's 154-position model. The record is from RNAcentral.
GAUGAAGAACGUAGCGAAAUGCGAUAAGUAAUGUGAAUUGCAGAAUUCAGUGAAUCAUCGAAUCUUUGAACGCACAUUGCGCCCCUUGGUAUUCCGAGGGGCAUGCCUGUUCGAGCGUCAUUAUAACCCCUCAAGCUCAGCUUGGUGUUGGGGCCUGCUGCACUGGCAGCCCUUAAAAUCAGUGGCGGCGCCGUCUGGCUCUAAGCGUAGUAAUUCUUCUCGCUAUGGAGUCCUGGUGGAUGCUUGCCAUCAACCCCCAAUUUUUCUAUGGUUGACCUCGGAUCAGGUAGGGAUACCCGCUGAACUUAAGCAUAUCAAUAAGCGAGGA